This is a non-coding RNA of Leucoraja erinaceus (little skate), 1637 nucleotides long. Lineage: Eukaryota; Metazoa; Chordata; Chondrichthyes; Rajiformes; Rajidae. The record is from the annotation of a RefSeq genome assembly.
UUCUGUCGGAGAGGAGGAGGGAGGGGAGAAAAGAUCUAACGUUUGACGAGAGCUUUGAUUGUGUCAGGUGCUCUCCUGCUGCUGAUGCCUUCUUGUAGAUUUUCCUCUAUCAGAGCACUUCCGCACACAUUUCGUUUGCGUGAGAUGGAGAUGACAAUAUAACCACCGUUUUAUUGGUGGCCUGCACAAAGUGACGUGAGGCUAGCUCCCACCAGCGCUCUCAAUUCUGCCUGACGGACGCACUGAAGGUAUUCAGGAGAGUCAGCAAAGUUGGUGCCGCCACGGGGAUCGAAGAUGCGCCUCAUGGUACAAACUGCCAUGUGGGCGACAUUCAUUAUCAGUCGGGGUGAUGCUGAUUCCGUGACCCAAGAGAAGACUUCUCUGACGCAUACAGAGGGGGAAAACGCCAUUUUAACAUGCACCUUUGCCAAGGAUGGUUACUACUUGUUCUGGUACCGCCAGUACCCCGACGGUCACCCGGAGUUUCUGCUCCGGAGAUACACUGACGGACAGUAUAACGACAAGGCGGAUUUCGCUCGUGAGCGGUUUUCUGACGAAGUUCAGCAGUCAACGAAAACAUAUCAGAUGACUAUUUCGGAGCUACUGCUGUCUGACACGGCGAUGUAUUACUGUGCAAUCGCACAGUGUUGGGAACGGCGUGCAGACUCGUACAAUAACUGCUGCAGGUUUCUGAGGCACAUCUGCUGCAGAUGUUCAGCUAUGUAGCUUAUUGUGGCGCAGGCAGUGGCGCCGGAAACCAUUUGCUGUAAGCGGAAACGCCACUCGCUCCACAUGAUAUCUCCAUUCCGUCAAAAUAUUGCACUAACAGCAAACUUUAACAUGUGUACCACGAAAUUUCACGACUUAAUAGCAAAAAGCAACGUUGUACGUAGUUGUUGAUUUAACAGAGCGGCGCAGCUUUCGAAAUACCUCACGCCUAUUUAGACUUUUGGAGAGGUCCCCCUCCCCUCACCCCACUCACCAUCAACAACAGCACAGUCACAUAUGUGGAGUAUUGUAAGUUCCUGUGAACCAUCAUCUCCAAGGACUUUAAAUGGGGGGCUACCAUCGACUCCACGGUCAAAAAUGCACAACACAGUAUGUACUUCCUACGGCACUGAUGAAGCACAAUCUGCCACCGGUAAUGAUGGUCCAAUUCUAUACGGACAUCGUAGAGUCUGUCCUCACCUUAACCAUCAUGGUCUGGUUUGGCGCGACAUCUGGAGGCCGCAGCGAAUCGUCCGAUCAGCUGAGAAGGCUAUUGGCAGCAACCGUCCCUCCAUUGAUGAACUGUACACUGCAGGGGCAGGGAAGCGAGCGGGUAAGAUCAUUUCUGACCCCUCUCACCCUGGCCACAACCACAACCUCUUCGGAUCACUUCUCUCUGGAAGGCGACUCCGGACUGUCAAAGCUGCCACAGCCAGACAUAAAAACAACUUUUUUUCCACGAGUAGUAGCUCUACUCAAUAACCAAAAACCUGUAGCCUCCUUUUGCUCUGAUGUUUUAUUUAAUUAACAUAUUUAAUCAAUAAUGUGUUGUUAUUAUUAAUGUUUAAUGUUUUAUGUGUCAUUCCUAACUGUCACUGUAUGUCGUUGUCACUUGCGGGCGGAGCACCAAUAUAAAUUCCUUGUAUGUG